UCUUCCCCUAAGACAGGAGUUUCUUGAUCCUGAAGCCCGGGGUUUUAAACACCUGUGUCCCCGCAGGGCGGGGUGGUUGGCAUCACCAUCGACUGGAACUGUGACCUGGACUGGCAUGUGCGGCACUGCAAACCCAUCUACGAGUUCCAUGGACUGUAUGAGGAGAAAAGCCUGUCUCCAGGCUUCAAUUUCAGGUUUGCCAGGCACUUCGUGGAAAACGGGACCAACCACCGCCACCUCUUUAAGGUGUUUGGGAUUCGCUUUGACAUUCUCGUGGAUGGCAAGGCUGGGAAGUUUGACAUCAUUCCCACAAUGACGACCAUUGGCUCUGGGAUUGGCAUCUUUGGGGUGGCCACGGUUCUCUGUGACCUGUUGCUCCUCCAUAUCCUGCCCAAAAGGCACUACUACAAGCAGAAGAAGUUCAAGUACGCGGAGCACAUGGGGCCAGGGGCGGGUGAGCGUGACCCUGCAGCCACCAGCUCCACCCUGAGCCUGCGGGAGAACAUGAAGGCAUCCUGACCCUCAGCCCCUGCCUCCUGACUGGACACAGCAUGAGGCUUCAGGCAGGGGCCCUGCUGGGGGCCCAGGACAGAACGGUCUCCGCAGGAGCUCUCCACGCUCUUAGCCAGGCAGACACUAGGCCUCGGCAGCCCAGGGGGGACACUGGGAGAGACCUGAGCAAGUCUGGUCUCUGGCCCCAACUCCACAAGCCCAAAGGGAGCUUCGCACCAGCCUCAGCCACUCCUGGUCUAGAGGGGCUGGGGCUGGGCAGGGAUCCUCUCACACCCCUCCAUCAGAGCUGUGUGCUUCUCUCUGGGCCCUCAUGCACCGCAUUGCCUCGUGUCUCCAGAUCCAUGCUUUCCCAUAUGGCAGACACUAGCCACGAUGACCAUUUAAAUUUAUAUUAAUUUAAACCGAAUAAAAUAAAAAAAUCAGUUCCUAAAACUAGCCACAUUACAACUGCUAAAUAGAGACAUGUGCCUAAUGGCUGCCAUAUUGGACCACAUAGACUAUUGCAGCAAGUUCUAUUGGACAGCUCUGCUUGAGCCCUGUUUCUUACUGGCCCCAGAUUUUCCUAGGGAGCUUAUCAACAGGGCAGGCACCCGGGUCUACCUCAGAUCUCCUGAACCAGAAUCUCUACGGCUGGCCACAGAUAUGCAAGGAUGGCAAACUCCCCAGGCCAUUUCAAAGACUGAAGUUUAGGAACCGUUCCCGAUUGGGUAUCAGAUUUAGUCUGGGCCUGCCUGACCUGGCAGCUGCAGGUUUUGAGUAGGUGUGUGGUAUACCUGCAAGUCACAUGGUCUCACGUACACACCCCCAUGUCCACACUCAUCUGCAUGCAUACCCCCCUCCCAUCCACACUCUGGUUUUGAACAGCUUGGGCCCUGCAAACACAACCAUCUGAACGUACCUACGCCCUCAAGUACAGACACAUGGUCCAUGCCACAACACUUCCAUGGAGACGUGCUUCUCCCUAAGUGCGUCAGGCCAGGACAGUCCCUUCAAGCCAUGAAUCCUCACUCAGCUACCUUGGGUUGGGUUGGAGCCCUGGCCAAAUCCUGGGCUCCCUGCUUGUGGCCCAGCCUCAGCACCUAAGGCCUGCCCAAUUCUGUCUGAACACAAGGUCUGGGAGAAGGGAGGGGUGGAGUACAAUAAAAGGAAGGAGGACAGACUUCUGCCUUCUGUACUUUUCCCCACUUUUCCCUCUCUGAAACUAGGUGUCCCCAUCUGUGGAAUGCGGGGCUGAGCUGAGAGAUCUUUGAGGUCCUCUGGAUCUCUUGGUAGACAGUGGUGAGUCGCCACUUAGGCCCUGAGCCCAGCAGGGUCAGUGCUGGAGAUCAGCUCACCUCUGUCCAUGGGCCACUGUACCCAAACAUUGGAGCUCUUUCUGGUCCUCCAUGUACCCCUCCCACAGCUUUGAGAGGCCUGGAACUCAGACAGCAGACACUCUCCGGAGCGGCCUCAGGAAAGCAGGAAUAAGAACGGGGCUGGCUGCUCCAGGAGAGAGACCUGAGGGAAUCUCAACGAGGGGAGGAAGGUCUUGAAUGGACAUAGUGUGGAAGGAUUUUCCAGGGGCCCUGCAGUGGGCAAGACCUGCAGUCUGGACCUGUGGCCAGGCAGGGUCUCUGGGAACCCCCCAUCACCACACUCUAUCUAGACCAGUGCUGUCCAAUAGCAAUGAUGGAAACAUUCUCUAUCUGUGCUUCCCAAAAUAGUAUUCACUAACCACAUGUGGCCACUAAAUACUUAAAAUGUGGCUAGUGUAA
Leptonychotes weddellii (Weddell seal) is the source of this 2267-nucleotide non-coding RNA. NCBI's taxonomy places the organism in Eukaryota, Metazoa, Chordata, Mammalia, Carnivora, Phocidae. The record is from RefSeq and is a predicted model, not a curated record.